CUUUACAGAUGCAGUGUUACCACUGUGAAGAGACCCUAUUGGACAAUGACUGCACGGAUCCUAAAUUCAUUGUCAACUGCACAGCAAAUAUUCAGGAUGCCUGCCAAAAGGAGGUGAUUGUGGGUGAGAAUGGUGUGUCCCAUAGGAAGGCCUGUGCUUCCUACACCACCUGUCUUAUCGUUUCUGCUGGUUACCAGCCCUUCUGUGUCCCUGGUCGGGUAGGGUCGGUCUGCAUCACUUGCUGCAAUACACACCUCUGCAAUGGGCCCCAGCCCCCCAGGAUCUCAAUGGCACCCCCUCACUCACCUGCCAUCUCUACUACACUGAUGAUUAUCACCAUAACAGUGGAAACACUACUUUGACAUCACACACCAACAUGUUUGAACACAAUAGAUGUACUGAAAUGUGGUUCUUUGGGGAAACUACAUUUACAACCUGAGGAGAAAUCUAUGAAUGUAUGGAGGUUGUGUUUUAAACAAAAUACUGGUUGUCCAUUAAAACAACUAGCUGACAUUAGAUUGUGAAUGUAUAGGUUACUUUAGCUUAAAACUAUGUAAAUGUUGAUGUUCAGAAUAUGUUUUGUGAAUGUGUUUGAGUAAAAAGACAAUUCUUCUCAAUUAGUUUAUUUUAACAAAUGUAUAUUCUUACAUUAAAUUACAAGCAGAAUUACAACAGCAAUCCCUGUAAAAGCAAAACAAAUUUUAUUCACAGUAUCAGAUAUGCAGAUUACCUCACUAACAGUAUAAUCUUCAACUGAGUAGCAAUUGAUAGUUUAGUAAACUUGUGGUGUAAUUGGCACUUCUAAGAAAAUAAAGCCUUAUAAAUGCAGCAGGUUGAAACAUGAAUCAUUGUUCCAUCUUAUUCAUUGAUGUCAAACAUGAGAAAAUACAUGAAGACGAGAUUUGUUGUAAAUAUUUCUGCAUUUUGGCUGCUCGUACUACUAUAUAGGGAAAAAUCACCCAUUAGCUAAUGAUUCAGGAUUUUUUAAGAACUUUGACUACUAUGCAUGUGCUUUAAUCAUGAAAAAAUUGUCUGGAAAGGAAGACUUUGCAGGAAUGCCAUAUCCUCUCAGUAAAACUAUAAAUCCAGAAUUUAACUUUUGUGAAGCCAUUGAGCAUACAAAUAAAAUAACUUGAGUGAAUUUCUUACACAAAUAAAUGUGUUUCCUUUAGAUCAGGGGUGUCGAAGUCCGGUCCUCGAGGGCCGCUGU
Molecule: long non-coding RNA, 1210 nt
Organism: Hypomesus transpacificus
Lineage: Eukaryota; Metazoa; Chordata; Actinopteri; Osmeriformes; Osmeridae
Exons: 2
Source: RefSeq, a predicted model, not a curated record